GUGUCAGCCGCCGCGGUAAUACGGAGGGUGCGAGCGUUAUCCGGAAUUACUGGGUUUAAAGGGUGCGUAGGCGGCUUGGUAAGUCAGGAGUGAAAGUUUGCGGCUCAACCGUAAAAUUGCUUUUGAUACUGCCAGGCUAGAAUCAGGAUGAGGUCAGCGGAAUGUGGCAUGUAGCGGUGAAAUGCAUAGAUAUGCCAUAGAACACCUAUUGCGAAGGCAGCUGGCUAGACCUGUAUUGACGCUGAGGCACGAAAGCGUGGGGAGCGAACAGGAUUAGAAACCCCCGUAGUCC
This 292-nucleotide ribosomal RNA is filed under the name uncultured bacterium. Its description in RNAcentral is "partial 16S ribosomal RNA". It matches the Rfam family "Bacterial small subunit ribosomal RNA", at positions 505 to 796 of the family's 1533-position model. The record is from RNAcentral.